AAAGAUAAUGUUCGCAUAAGAUCCAGCAGGUACAGACUUAGUCUGUAAAUUAGAAGGUUUUUAACCAUCAGAGGAGUGGACCUUUGGAGAGCCUCUUCAGGGAAAUAAUGAGCGCAGGCUGUCAGAUGCAUUUAUGGAUAGAUUUACGUAACACAGCUGCUUGAACAGCUGGGGCUGGUCACCACAACCCAGGAAGACUCCUUUCGACUUGCUGCUUACUGUGCUGGUGGGGGCAGCCCAGAGAGAUGGGUUAAAUAUGGUCCCUGGGCUCUCUGUGGUGAUUUGCUUGGGGAGCAGGCUGACAGUUGCCUCUUUCAUCCAUGCUUCUGAGGACAGAACAAAUCACCAAUGCUGUAAUAAGGACAGUAAAACAAAGGCAAAACAGCAAGGAACAGAAGGAAUUUGUGCUCUCUGCACUUUUUUUUGGGAUCUAAAUGCAUUGUACACUUCAUUCAAGCUGCAACAACCCUCAAAUACUGAGGCACCCCCAAAUCAGUGCUAUUUAUUCUGGGAGAGAGUCCAUUUUGGUUUGGACUUUGCUUUUGUUUCUCUUGGAGCUGCAUGACAUUGCACAGCUUUUCUAAGGAUAAGAUCACAGAGUACGCACCGUGAAGAUUAAGGGGACUUGUUCAUGGGGAUACUGUGGUUUUGUUAAUGGACAAAAAAGGAGAUUUUUGUGAGCUCAACUUACAUACAAAAUGAAUGUACAUUACUGCGUUCUAAUUGCAAAUAGCUUGGCUGGGGCUUUAAAAGCCUUUCAUUCCAAGUCCACUGUUUGUCAAAUGUCUUUUAAAACUAACCAUGGUUAUAAAGAGCGCAUUAUUAUUGUUAAUACUUACAGGAGCCUUUUCAGCAAUUACCCUGCUCCCGCCCAGUCCAGUACAAACACUCUCCCUAACAUGGAGGGUUGGAAACAACAUGAAUUAAAAGGGGCCCACAUAAGAGGAAAAUAUCCAUUUUCAUAAAGAGUGUGAACCCUGAAAGAACUCUUAAAAGGCUGAAGCCCCAGAGCUGCCUGUUCUGAGAGCAGAGAUCCCCUCCAGCCCCUGUGCCAGCAGUGCCUAGCUUGCAAAAUUUCACCCAAAGUUGGGCCUUUCGGUGCUGUGAGGGAAGUUCUGCCUCUCUCAUUCUGGCCACAGGCAAGCAGGAGACCCUGGAUGAGCAUCUCACAGAUAGACUUUCCUGCCCACUGCCAGCACAGCUGUGAAGUGGAGAACUGCUCCUAGCUUUACUUGACAAGCCCCCAUAUGACUUGGACAGAGAGAUCCCUAUGUCCAGAGAUGAAGACAGAAAUCUGGAUGACAGCAUUUAAAUUCCCAUUGCAAUUGGCUCAGUCUGUGAAGGAAUAGAGUUUAGGAUAACAAAUCCACUGAUUUCCAAUGACACUCCAGUGAACUCUCAGGCACUGACAUCACUUUUGAAAGUACUCCCAAAUUGCUGCAGGAUUUUAUAGUUCAAGUGACUUGACCAAGGCCAUAAAGGAAAGCCUGUAGCACAGCUAGGCAUUAAGUCAGGUCCUCUAAAUCUCUGUGUAGUCCUUUUGGUCCCAAAGAACUUGGUUAAUG
Molecule: long non-coding RNA, 1565 nt
Filed under: Anas platyrhynchos platyrhynchos (common mallard)
Lineage: Eukaryota; Metazoa; Chordata; Aves; Anseriformes; Anatidae
Description: lncRNA (ENSAPLG00000028630.1)
Source: RNAcentral